UACGAAGGGGGCUAGCGUUGUUCGGAUUUACUGGGCGUAAAGCGCACGUAGGCGGAUCGAUCAGUCAGGGGUGAAAUCCCAGAGCUCAACUCUGGAACUGCCUUUGAUACUGGCGAUCUUGAGUCCGGGAGAGGUGAGUGGAACUGCGAGUGUAGAGGUGAAAUUCGUAGAUAUUCGCAAGAACACCAGUGGCGAAGGCGGCUCACUGGCCCGGUACUGACGCUGAGGUGCGAAAGCGUGGGGAGCAAACAGG
This 253-nucleotide ribosomal RNA is filed under the name uncultured bacterium. RNAcentral describes it as "partial 16S ribosomal RNA". It matches the Rfam family "Bacterial small subunit ribosomal RNA", at positions 524 to 776 of the family's 1533-position model. The record is from RNAcentral.